UUGCAGCUAUAUCAAGUUGAAACACUGGUUCUCGUACGAUCACUGAAGUUAAGCAACAUCUUCAUGGUCAGUACCUGGAUGAGUGACCGCGUGGGAAUGUCAGAUGCUGUAA
Acanthosepion pharaonis is the source of this 112-nucleotide non-coding RNA. NCBI's taxonomy places the organism in Eukaryota, Metazoa, Mollusca, Cephalopoda, Sepiida, Sepiidae. The record is from the annotation of a GenBank genome assembly.